CCUACGGGAGGCAGCAGUAAGGAAUCUUCCACAAUGGACGAAAGUCUGAUGGAGCAACGCCGCGUGCAGGAUGAAGGCUUUCGGGUCGUAAACUGCUUUUAUAUGGGAAGAUUAUGACGGUACCAUAUGAAUAAGGACCGGCUAACUACGUGCCAGCAGCCGCGGUAAUACGUAGGGUCCAAGCGAUAUCCGGAAUUACUGGGCGUAAAGCGUGUGUAGGUGGAUUAAUAAGUGUGAUGCGAAAUCCGGCGGCUCAACCGUUUGGACUGUGUCGCAUACUGUUAGUCUAGAGGACGGCAGAGGUAAGUGGAAUUACGGGUGUAGCAGUGAAAUGCGUAGAUAUCCGUAGGAACACCAAUGGCGAAGGCAGCUUACUGGGCCACACCUGACACUGAGACACGAAAGCGUGGGGAGCGAACAGGAUUAGAUACCCUGGUAGUCCACGCCGUAAACGAUGCAUACUAUUAGUAUGGGGUAUCGACCCCCUGUGCUGAGAAGCUAACGCGAUAAGUAUGCCGCCUGGGGAGUACGAGCGCAAGCUUAAAACUUAAAUGAAUUGACGG
RNAcentral lists this ribosomal RNA (563 nucleotides) under uncultured bacterium. RNAcentral describes it as "bacterial SSU rRNA". It matches the Rfam family "Bacterial small subunit ribosomal RNA", at positions 338 to 916 of the family's 1533-position model. The record is from RNAcentral.